Molecule: ribosomal RNA, 805 nt
Filed under: uncultured bacterium
Lineage: Bacteria
Description: bacterial SSU rRNA
Rfam family: Bacterial small subunit ribosomal RNA
Source: RNAcentral
UCGCCCUUAGAGUUUGAUCCUGGCUCAGGACGAACGCUGGCGGCGUGCUUAACACAUGCAAGUCGAACGUGAUUUUUGUGGAAAUUCUUUCGGGAAUGGAAAUGAAAUGAAAGUGGCGAACGGGUGAGUAACACGUGAGCAACCUACCUUACACAGGGGGAUAGCCGUUGGAAACGACGAUUAAUACCGCAUAAGACCACAGCACCGCAUGGUGCGGGGGUAAAAACUCCGGUGGUAUGAGAUGGACCCGCGUUCGAUUAGCCAGUUGGCGGGGUAACGGCCCACCAAAGCGACGAUCGAUAGCCGAUCUGAGAGGAUGACCGGCCACAUUGGGACUGAGACACGGCCCAAACUCCUACGGGAGGCAGCAGUGGGGAAUAUUGCACAAUGGGGGAAACCCUGAUGCAGCGACGCCGCGUGAGUGAAGAAGUAUUUCGGUAUGUAAAGCUCUAUCAGCAGGGAAGAAAAUGACGGUACCUGAGUAAGAAGCCCCGGCUAACUACGUGCCAGCAGCCGCGGUAAUACGUAGGGGGCAAGCGUUAUCCGGAUUUACUGGGUGUAAAGGGAGCGCAGACGGCUCUGCAAGUCUGAAGUGAAAGCCCGCGGCUUAACCGCGGGACUGCUUUGGAAACUGCAGGGCUUGAGUAUCGGAGGGGCAGGCGGAAUUCCUAGUGUAGCGGUGAAAUGCGUAGAUAUUAGGAAGAACACCGGUGGCGAAGGCGGCCUGCUGGACGAAAACUGACGUUGAGGCUCGAAGGCGUGGGGAGCAAACAGGAUUAGAUACCCUGGUAGUCCCCGCGGUAAA